UACGGGGGGGGCAAGCGUUGUUCGGAAUUACUGGGCGUAAAGGGCUCGUAGGCGGCCAACUAAGUCAGACGUGAAAUCCCUCGGCUUAACCGGGGAACUGCGUCUGAUACUGGAUGGCUAGAGUUUGGGAGAGGGAUGCGGAAUUCCAGGUGUAGCGGUGAAAUGCGUAGAUAUCUGGAGGAACACCGGUGGCGAAGGCGGCAUCCUGGACCAACACUGACGCUGAGGAGCGAAAGCCAGGGGAGCAAACAGG
This 253-nucleotide ribosomal RNA is filed under the name uncultured bacterium. RNAcentral describes it as "partial 16S ribosomal RNA". It matches the Rfam family "Bacterial small subunit ribosomal RNA", at positions 524 to 776 of the family's 1533-position model. The record is from RNAcentral.